GAAAUACUCCCUCCGUCUGAAAAUUAUUAUCUUGGAUUUGUCUAGAUACGGAUGUAUCUAGUCACGUGUUAGUAUCUAGAUGCAUCCAUAUCUAGAAAAAUCUAAGACAAAUUUUUUGAGGCAGAGGGAGUAUAUA
This 136-nucleotide microRNA precursor is filed under the name Hordeum vulgare. Its description in RNAcentral is "microRNA MIR1122". It matches the Rfam family "MIR1120/MIR1122 microRNA precursor family". Lineage: Eukaryota; Viridiplantae; Streptophyta; Magnoliopsida; Poales; Poaceae. The record is from RNAcentral.